AUUGCUUCUCGGCCUUUUGGCCAAGAUCAAGUGUAGUAUCUGUUUAAAAUAUACUUCAGUCCUUUUGUCUGCUAGUAUCUACCUGUU
This 87-nucleotide small nuclear RNA is filed under the name Fukomys damarensis (Damara mole-rat). RNAcentral describes it as "U2 spliceosomal RNA". It matches the Rfam family "U2 spliceosomal RNA". Rfam says of the family: U2 is a small nuclear RNA (snRNA) component of the spliceosome (involved in pre-mRNA splicing). Complementary binding between U2 snRNA (in an area lying towards the 5' end but 3' to hairpin I) and the branchpoint sequence (BPS) of the intron results the bulging out of an unpaired adenosine, on the BPS, which initiates a nucleophilic attack at the intronic 5' splice site, thus starting the first of two transesterification reactions that mediate splicing. Lineage: Eukaryota; Metazoa; Chordata; Mammalia; Rodentia; Bathyergidae. The record is from Rfam by way of RNAcentral.